This 253-nucleotide ribosomal RNA is filed under the name uncultured bacterium. RNAcentral describes it as "partial 16S ribosomal RNA". It matches the Rfam family "Bacterial small subunit ribosomal RNA", at positions 524 to 776 of the family's 1533-position model. The record is from RNAcentral.
UACAGAGGGUGCAAGCGUUAAUCGGAAUUACUGGGCGUAAAGCGUGCGCAGGCGGUUCGUUGUGUCGGCGGUGAAAGCCCCGGGCUUAACCUGGGAAUGGCCGUUGAAACUGGCGAACUGGAGUGUGGCAGAGGGGGGUGGAAUUCCGCGUGUAGCAGUGAAAUGCGUAGAGAUGUGGAGGAACACCGAUGGCGAAGGCAGCCCCCUGGGGUAACACUGACGCUCAUGCACGAAAGCGUGGGGAGCAAACAGG